CUGUUGGUUAUGUGUGCCCAAGCAUUGAGGCAGUCAGAGUAGGUAAAUCCGCUUUGAUAAUGCUGGGAUGUGAUGGGGAGCGAAAUUUAGUAGCGAAGUAGCUGAUUUCACACUGUCAAGAAAAGUCCCUAUCGAGGUUAAAGGUACCCGUACCGCAAACCGACACAGGUGGGUGAGGAGAGUAUCCUAAGGCCCGCGAGAG
This 202-nucleotide ribosomal RNA is filed under the name Clostridioides difficile. RNAcentral's name for it is "partial 23S ribosomal RNA". It matches the Rfam family "Bacterial large subunit ribosomal RNA", at positions 1495 to 1696 of the family's 2925-position model. Lineage: Bacteria; Bacillati; Bacillota; Clostridia; Peptostreptococcales; Peptostreptococcaceae. The record is from RNAcentral.